RNAcentral lists this long non-coding RNA (231 nucleotides) under Setaria italica (foxtail millet). RNAcentral describes it as "long non-coding RNA (SITA_LNC005957)". The record is from RNAcentral. Lineage: Eukaryota; Viridiplantae; Streptophyta; Magnoliopsida; Poales; Poaceae.
CGCAUUCCUCGGACAUUUUCGGGGUUCUUCUGUCCUUCCAUUUCGCCGCAUUCCUCGGACAUUUUCGGGCUUUUCCUCGUGCGCUCGUGGUCGGACGGAUAAAACGGUGAGGCGACCCGCACGGAGGACCUUGGAUGCGGGGCCCACGCGGCUCGGGCGGCGCGUCGAGGUGCGGGCAUAAGAGCAAGGAGAGUGGCUAGUAUGUCGGAUGCGAUCAUACCAGCACUAAAG